GACGUAGGGCGCGAGCGUUGUCCGGAUUUAUUGGGCGUAAAGAGCGUGUAGGCGGUUUGGUAGGUCCGCUGUGAAAACUCGAGGCUCAACCUCGAGACGCCGGUGGAAACCAUCAGGCUAGAGUCCGGAAGAGGAGAGUGGAAUUCCUGGUGUAGCGGUGAAAUGCGCAGAUAUCAGGAAGAACACCCGUGGCGAAAGCGGCUCUCUGGAACGGUACUGACGCUGAGACGCGAAAGCGUGGGGAGCAAACAGG
This 253-nucleotide ribosomal RNA is filed under the name uncultured bacterium. RNAcentral describes it as "partial 16S ribosomal RNA". It matches the Rfam family "Bacterial small subunit ribosomal RNA", at positions 524 to 776 of the family's 1533-position model. The record is from RNAcentral.